This is a long non-coding RNA of Lepidothrix coronata (blue-crowned manakin), 6811 nucleotides long. RefSeq lists it as uncharacterized. The record is from RefSeq and is a predicted model, not a curated record. The transcript has 3 exons. NCBI's taxonomy places the organism in Eukaryota, Metazoa, Chordata, Aves, Passeriformes, Pipridae.
UCCCUUGGGUCCUGUCACUGGUCCCCACAGAGAAGAGAUCAGUGCCUGCCCCUCUUCUUCCCCUCAUGAGGAAUUUAUCACUAAUUAGUGAUAAUCAUUGCUGUGGAGCGAUAGGGUGGGAUAGGAGCACAGCCUUUACUGAAAUUCCUCAGGGUGAAAUAAUGCCAUUUCUGUCUGCAUAGAAGCAUUUGCCAAAGCUUGUCCUUUGGGUUGGUAUUUUGUUAAAACAGAACACCAGACCAGUAAUGUCGAACUAUGCUAUGUUAGUGUCCAUAGGCAGAUAUUUAAGUCAGUUUGAAAAGAAAAAAAGACUUAUUUUGAUUUUCUGUGUAGAAAAAUACAUUUCAGUUUAAGAGGUCAUGUUAAAGUAAAAUAUUUACCCAAACUAAAAUUCUUUUGCCAUUUCAGUUUGUGGAAACACGGAGCCCCUUAGGCAAUACAGUGUUUGAAGAUGGCUUUCAUAUGUGGAACUCUUGGUUACUUCCCAGCUCAGGUUCACAGGUUGGUAUGGGUCAAAAUUAUCACAAGAACUAUUUGAAGACCAUAGCAAUUAAAUAUUUUUAUGGCUUAUUAUCAUAUUCUAAAUACUAAAUGGUUCUGAGAAAUAGUCUCAGAGAGAUUUGAUAGCUGACCCACAGACUGUGCACUGCCUUUUGCAUACAUACUUAAGCUACUAGUAUUUCUAGGAAGCUAUAUUUUAUUAAUUCAUUAUUAUUUUAUUGAUGUUCAAUUGAUGUCUUAUUAAAUAUAAAUUACAUAUUAGGGAAUAAUACUGUAAUGGGAUGAGGCAGGUGAGAUUCCCUGAGGAUGGUUUAUAAUGAAGCCUCAAAUUGUUAAUAAUCCUAAACUCAUAAAUAAAUUAUUAUGGGUGAAACAAAGGCAAAAAUACUGAAAUAAGCUAUGAAAAUGUUAAGUGGGGGUGAAGAGACACAUAAUCUGCUGGGAGAUCUGUGUGAUAACAUACAUUUGGCACUAAGUCACAUAAGUCAGAUUCACAUCAGUGUCCCCCACUCCUUCCCAUCCUUUAGCAUGUAGGUGUGGAUCUACCGCUCGUUUCCCAUUAUUAUGCUGCGCCAUCCUGUUCCCAGACGUUUUGCUUUGCCUGGGAACACUGUUAAUUUAACGCGCUCAGCUGACCUCAGAGGCACUGAAAUGACACGGCAGCAGCAGCCCAGAGUGCUGCAGCAUAUCCUGCUGUUCACAGAGCUACUGGGGAGAACAGGGACUUUUCUGGACACUUUUCUGUGAACUCUUCUGGGAAAAGUCAGGGGGAGCUGUCUCUUUGACCACACCGUGUCGGGAAGGACACAUCCUCUCACUUAGCUGUAUCUUUCAUCUUUUCCAUGGAAGACAGAUUUCCCUGUUGCUCCUCUGUUUUUCUUGAAGAGUUAGCAAGGAGACCAUAGAUCUCCCUUAGAUAAGAAAAGAAAGAAAGGAGGACCUACCUUUAUGUAAGGAAAGAAGGAUGGAAAGAAUGAGAGGAUUCUGGUAGUGUAUUUUCUGGUUUGUUUGGGGUUUUUUGGAUCCCAGAUUCCACAAAAACCUUAAGAGAUCUGAAACCUUAAUUUCUUCAGCAAAAACAGCACCGUUAUCACAGCCUUGAAAGACAGAGCUAAAUCCCAGGGGAGUACUCAGUAUCUGUGUUUUAUACUCACUGUAGUGGGAAUUGCAGAAACUCAGCACUUUGUGAAAUGCUGCUGUAAUUUGAAGAGUUAAGUCACGCAGCAGGUUAGUAAAUGUAAAGAAGUUUAGUGCCAAAAAUUAAUUUUGUGAUAUUUCUACAAGUGGACAUGCAAAAGUCUGAAAAUCUGUCCCUGUUACAUUCAGGUAGUGCUGACGGAGGCAUUCACAUAGGGAUUUGGAUGUAUCCAAUGUGGAAUUUGGUACAAAGUAAUUUUGGAUAGUUUGGUAGAUGGUUUUCCUGUAACAUUAAAGCUGAGGGCCCUCUUGUUACUUGUGUGGUGUUUUGGAAAAAAAAAAUUAAAUUGUUUUAGAAACUGAACAAAGAGAUGAUUUAGUCACUGGUUUAGGCUUUUGCCUAAAAUUAUAUUCCAGGAACUUGAUGAUAUCGAAUGGCCAAAGGGUCACAAACUAGAAAUUUGGGUUAAUAUAAGGUACAGAAAAAAGACAAAUAUGCUGCUUUUCUGAUGUGAGAGACCUUGGUUGCUAGGAGGAAAGUAUUCAAGUGUUUGCCUACAUUUUGCUGGGGUUUUAACAGUGUGGAAUAAAUAGAUAACACCAUGCCUUUUAAAUAAUGUUUUCUUAAAUAGCGAAGCUAUUACCUAAUGAAGAAAUUGCAGUAAUCACAUCUCCAUAAAAGGGGGGAGUUACGGUAUCUAUGUAAUUAAAAUGCUGUUCUUUUCCAAACAUAAAUCUGCUGAUGAAUACAUUUUUCUGUAUUUUUGUAAUUGGAGAUUUUGAAAUCAACUUGUUGUUAAAACGCAGAAAAUUCUAUUGCCUCUCCAUAAUAGAAUAAAGACAGAGAAGUCACAUGUGUGAUUUACAGCAUCUGUAGCAAAAUUAUAUUCUUUCUGGUAGUUACAAAUGGUUAUUCCUGUGCAUCUGCCAGGAGGCCAACGGGUAUGGAAAACAGAUCCAGCUUGAAUCAUUCUUCACUUUUCCCCUGGUGUGCCAGGCCAGCAGGGUCUGUUGGAACUGUUGGCCAGUUCUUGUCCAUGCACUGGCUGACACUUCUCUAGGGAACCACAUUAAGCAAUUCCUUGGGUCACCAGAGAUGUCUGUGCCUCCUCCUUCAUGUGCCAACACAGGCUGGGCUUGGAAGAAGGUCCUGCCCUGCUCUUGAUGUUGUUUGCCCUCUCCUCAGAUUUCUUACGACUCGUGUCAGCAAGACAAACAGCCAUUCCCAUUUAGGAAUUAGAGAAGUCUCAAGGCUAGUUUCACACUCGGGGCUCCUUUUUUUGCCAUUUUCUCAUCCUGCAAGAAAGCAAGAUAUUAAUUACACAGCACCUUCUUCUGCAGCUUUUAUGCAAAGGUGCGAUAAUUGAGAGAAUUUAUCUGUCUUUGUAAGAAAUGAAAGACUAAAAAGCAUUAAGUAGGCAUUUAAACUACACUGGUGUGUGUAAAGCUGGGCUCAGGGAACAUAGCAAACAUUCUACAGCCUCCAGAGACACCUACAAAUUUUUGGUUCUGUAUUUGCCUUAUUGUCUCCCUUUAAAAGGCUUCUGUACUGUUGCUGCACAGCUUUAUUCAAAGUUACCUAUGGUGAGGAGGAGUAGAGGAUAACAUGGAUAGUAAUUAGGAAUCAAAAGAGGAAACAAAAGAAAAGGCCAAUAAUGCAAGACAAUCAUUAAGUGCCAAAUAUAAUUUGUCAAAGGUGUUCCUUCUAAAUUAGGUGGAGGCAGCAUUUUUUCAGAUCGAUACUGCCUCAGUGACUCCCCUACGGUUCUGGUGGCUUUUGGCUAACAAACAGGAAGAGUUGUGGUAUGCCCUAUGCAUAAACAACAAGGCCAAAGAAUUUAGUGGAUUAGUAGACCUUGCCUGUGGUCUGACAUCCCUGUAAAACUGAGAUGGGCAGUGUGCAAGGGCUGAAGCUGGCACAAAUCAUGUACAUGGCCUGAUCAGCUGCGAAGCUACCUCAUAGAUCAGUCACAGCCAGAAGUGCAAAGCUCCACAGCAAACUGAGCUCAGUAGUAAAUAUUAUCAAGGAGUACAUGCCCUGAUUCUUGGUGAUGUUAGUGGGAAAAUGUAUUGAAUUCAUUUGGAGUUUGAGCUGCCUGUUAGAGGAAGUGCAUUAAGUAUUUAACCCAGAUGUUGUCCAUCUUUAACCACACAUCCUACCCAGCCUGAUGCAUUUAAUUACCAAUAUAAGGUGUUAUUGCUGUGACUUAAUACUAUAUUAUAUUCUUAGUCAAUGCUACUAUGGUACAGCCAAAUACUGUGCUUUGUUUCAAAUAAAAAGGUGGGAAUAGAGAAGACAGGUGUCAUACAACAGAGGGGCAACUUCAUGAUAGGAAAUGGCAUUUUGAUUAAAUUUUCAGAGGGGCAUCGAUAUUCUUUGUGUUUCCUGUAUCAAAACAUCAUAGCAGCCAACUGACAGAAGCCAGGAGCUCAUUGUUUCUUAAGUGGUGUUUGUCAGACCUCACUGUGCAAUAGGAGUCCCUGACAACACGCUUCUUCAUCUGUGCAGAUGAAGCCCUUCUAGUCUAAGCAAACUAUAAAAACUUGUCCUUAGUCCAAAGAAACAGUCUUUGCACUGGAACCCAGGCAUCCUGAUUCACAGCCAGCACAACUUAAACUCAAGGCCAGACCCAACGUGCACCUCUGGUCUCUCCUAGAAGGAAAGAGUCGUACGUAGGCAUGCACAUCUACAAACCUGGGCAUCUGGCAGCCUCACACCUUCCUGAACACAGCUCUGCAGUAGGAAGGUGCAAAACAGCUGCAUUUUUCGUCAGGAGAAUAUGCUAAUUUUUGCUGUAACAACUGUAUAUAACCUGUCAGUUAUUCUCUCCAGUCUUGGGUUAACUUUAUCUGUGGUUGUGUUUAGAAGUCCCAGAUGAUUAUGUAAUAGGUGGAAGAUACCUAAUAAUAUAACAGGCCUUUUCUGAUUUUUUCUAUGGCUGUAUUAAUGUAAUUUCUUAGGUAUCAUUGUGUCUUUUUCAACGUCGAUCCAUUGUGAAUCAUGCAGACGCAGCAGUGAAAGAACAGAACCUGCUGCAGCCUGUGAGCAGCAAGAAAUUUCAGCUGGAUGACUGCAUAAGGGGUUUGCAAGACCGCCAGUAAUUUUUUAUAUUCAGAGUUAAAUAGAGCAAUAAGAUGGAAUUUAAGCUUUAGUGCAAUAGAUUGCAGCUCUUCAGUCAAUCAAAUUAUAGUUCAAUCAGUUCAUUUUAAUCACUUCUCUGGAGAGAAGUAAACCCCUAUGUUGAAGAAUAUGCAGCAAUUUUAUUGAUGGAAAGUUUAAUUGUUUCAUUUUUCCUUACCGUCUGUAACACACUAGACUUUUAAUCAGUGGGAACUGAAGUUAUAAUGAAGUAAAGUCCACUUUCCACAGUUCACAACUAGCUGAAAAUAAUUGGGUUGAGACUCCCAUCCAGACAGUGUAAUGCCUCUGGCAUUUUCCUGAAAACUACACUUAAUUGCUUUGCUGAUGUUGUUAAGUGGUCCUGAGGGGGAUGAAGUAGUAAAGCUGCCCACAUAUGCAGGGAAACAAUACACAAAAAAUGUCUUACAAGGUCCUUAAAGGAGGACCAACUAGUGACUAGAAGACAAUAUAUGGCUAUUUUUUCCCCCCUUUUCUAUACCAGAGAGAACACACGGGAGAGGCUGAUAGAAUAAACUGGAAAUUCUAUGAACACUAACAGUAUUUUUAUUUAAGGGCAUUAAGCUUGGGACCAGAAGUACAGAAAACGUCAGGGCAGAGCUCUUGCAAUCAAACCUGCAACUUGAGGCUAGCCUGAGUUGCUUGGCAGUUUUAUGCUGAACACUGGUUAGCUGCUGCCUGUCUUCAGCACCUUGGCUUGAGGAACAGAUGUACUCUUGUCCCCAGAGAGGGAGGACAGCUUGCUCUCUGUGCUCUGAAGUGACAGGAUGUGAGCCAGCUAUGAGCUGAAAGCCUUACCCAGGCAUCAGUGGGACCAGCGUGUGCACCCCGUUAGGCUCCAAAUGUAGCCAGAGAAGGAAUAACACUGGCAUUUCUCCUGAUUUAGGGCAUUCGUGGGAAACUCUCCCUGGUUGAAUUGUGAUUGUUUAAAAUGAUGAAUCAACUGCUAGGCUCAAGGAUAUUCUGAUGUAGAAAUAUGUUAGUUAUUUAAUAGAGAAAGAUAUGUAUUUAGGACCCACAAAUCAGGUAGUGUCCCUGAAUUCAAAAUCAGCGUUGGAGCUGGACCUGUUUUGGGGGAGCGAGGACUACAGGGUUAACUUAGCUUUUUUUAAGUAAGUGGGCUUUUUGGUUUUUUUUUCCUUGUUUAUUUACGUAUACGAGCACAGUAAAGUCUCUCUCUCAACAGCCUGACCUUCCUCAGCUGCUAUUUGUGUAAACUUCAGUAUGACCUUUGCUUAUUUUAUUCUCGCUUUCACAGGCUCUGAGCUGAACAAUUAUGUCCUCACGACUUUCUAGAAAGGAACACAGGCAAAAUUGAGGUAUUGUGCUCUAAAGCUGAAAUCUUAAAAGUUUUCUUAACCCUAUAUCUGAUCCUGGAGGCCCUCCAGAAUCUGUGAGUUGGUACCUCAAAUCUUGGCCAGCAUAGCUCUUCCAGCGCCCGAGAUGAUGCUCUUUCCCCUGAGACAUGCUGAAGUCUAGACAAUACCUUGACGUGUAACCUCAUAUUAGCCUGACUAUUCCCCAUAAUAUUAAUAAGCUUUAACACUUAUUUCUCCUAUGGUGAAAUGGUCACCUCCCAUGUGCUGGAACCGCCAACCAUAUGCCAAGGAGAUCAAGCUGUCAGAUUUGAGAAGAGCAUUGGGAGUAGUGCAUUGUGUCCAAUUCACUGUGCUCGCCUGCCUCUGGGAGAGCAGCUCAGCAGCUCAGUGGUUGUGCUCUGCUGUUCCUGGGUCCCGUUGCGCGUUCCUGAUAAGCCAUCUCAGAGGGGAUGAUACCAGCCUGAAUUCCCUCUACUUUCCUCUGGCAAAGAGACAGAUGUGUCUUCCUGCUGCAUGAUAUGAUGGCAACUCUGAGUGCUGGACCACGCUAUGGAAGACAAGUCUCUGCACUGAGGCACACCCCUAACCCCAGGGGAGGAAGGCUUUUGGUUCAAAAAGGCCAGAGAAGGAAUACCCUCAUGAAAAUCUGAGCCCCCAAAUACCUUGCCCUGCACAUAAUGAUCCUCUGUUUGGUGGAAGACUGACCCAGCCAAGU